GGAUGCGAUCAUACAAGCACUAAAGCAUCGGAUCCCAUCAGAACUCCGAAGUUAAGCGAGCUUGGGCGAGAGUAGUACUAGGAUGGGUGACCUCCUGGGAAGUCCUCGUGUUGCAUUCC
Molecule: ribosomal RNA, 119 nt
Filed under: Triticum dicoccoides
Lineage: Eukaryota; Viridiplantae; Streptophyta; Magnoliopsida; Poales; Poaceae
Source: RNAcentral